UUCUGCCCUCAGAGUCACCUUGGUCAUUUUCUUCUGAAUCUCCUAGAGAAGUUCUAGGAAGUUCAUUUCCUUCAUCUGCCUGGAAUUAUCUAACUGUUCAGCGUGCUCAGACUUCAGUCUGAAUUUCACCAUGUGGUCCAUCAUCUUCUUUCUCCUGUUGGGGUUCCUCUGCCCUGGACACAAUGCCCCUCUGAGCCCUCAAAACCCUGACGCAGAUGGAAUGCCUCUAGCAGAACAACUGAAUUGGCCAAAAGAAAUCACUAUCACAUGUGUCGUUCAAGAUUUUUAUCCCAGCGAACUCUUUCUGAAAUCGCUCCAGAAUGGGGAGCCGGUGAGUGAAUCAGCGUACCACACUGGCCAACCCAAUUUACAGUCCAACACACCCAAACGGUAUUUGAGGUUGAGCAUCAGCAAGCAGGAAUGGAAUUCUGAAGACGGAUACUUUUGCCAAGUGGUCCACAAAGCCUUGCCAUCCGACGUCAUCCAGAAGACCAUAAAGAAGAACACGGGGAAAUGAUCUGUAGUUGACGUCUCCGUAAUCCUCUCUGACGCCAGCAGCCCUUGCUUCCCAUUUCUUUUGAGAAACCUUCGUGUGUUCGGUUCCCACCAGCCUCUCUUUUCUCCUACUUCGUGAUGGAUAAUUCAUGAAAGCAUUCGUUGGCCGCAUCCUUCUGAAGACAAGAAAUAUUGUGUCAUCAAGUAUUUUUCUCAAAACAAGUAAAAAAAUAAUAAUAAUCUGGGGGUAAGGCAGUGGUGAAAUGUAAAAUUUGUUACUACCGGUUCUGUGGACGUGGCUUGCUGUGUGUGUGUGUGUGUGUGUGUGUGUAUGUGUGUGUGUAAGUGAGUGUGUAAUGUGACUUGUGGGCAUGGCCAACUUUUUUUUUUUACCUUUAAAAACAUUUUUUCUUCAACCUUUAAAAGAAAAAAAAAGCCUCUGAUGAUUAGGCAACUCAGCUGGGAUCAUCAAAGGAGCCUUUUAAAAAAGCAUUUUUUCUACAACCUCUUUGGCUGAACUGGUAGCAUUUCACCCCUGGUGUAAAGUUUCCAGAAGUUUCCCCGAGCCACUUUGAUGCCAAAGAGAGUGAGACUCCAGACGAGGCUUACAAAACUACUGUUUUUUAUUCUUUGGCCAAAGUAAAAAGGCUGGGUGACAAAACUGUAUCCAAAACAUACAGGCAAAAUGCAUGUAAGGAAUAGCCACACCCCGCGUGAAAUGCUACUGGCUUGCACCGGUUCGGUGAACCGGUAAUGAUAAAAGCUACACAUGCGGGCGAACCGGUAGUAAAAAAGAGAUCCUAGUUCAUCCAAAAUGGUAUUUCUGAUGAUCAGCUUUACCACGUGAUUUAAAUUCGGUAGAAAUCCUGCUUUCUAGAGAAUCAAAAUUGUGUGGCACAGCUGUUCUGCCUCCUUCGCUGUUGUACUUACCUUGUUAAGCCUCCUUUUUCUGCAUGAAGCAAGUGUUUGGUGCGCAAUCUGCAUGCAUGUGCAUGCAGCGUGUGUUUGGCAUGUACUGCGCAUGUACACAUGUGCAGCGUGUGUUUUGCACACACUAUUCAUGCCUAGCUUUGAAACCAAGAAUAGAAGUGAGACACAGAAGCAAGAUAACAAAAUGUUACUAAUGCCAACCAGCAUUAAGGUUACAUUUUACUAAGCUAGAUUUAGUUCCUAACUCAUCUACACCUCAUUAACUGUCUGGUUUGGUUCUGCAACCCAACAAGACAGACACAGACUUCAGAGGAUCAUUAGAACUGCAGAAAAAACAACGGCUACCCAUCUGCCUUCCAUUGAGGACUUUUAUACUGCACGAGUCAAAAAGAGGGCUGUGAAAAUAUUUACAGAUCCCUUAUAUCCUGGACAUAAACUGUUUCAACUCCUACCCUCAAAACGACGCUAUAGAGCACUCCAUGCCAGAACAACUAAACACAAGAACAGGUUUUUCCUGACCGCCAUCACUCUGCUAAACAAAUAAUUCCCUCAACACUGUCAAACUAAAUCUGCACUACUAUUAAUCUUCUCAUCGUUGCUAUCACCCACCUCCUCCCACUUAUGACUGUAUGACUGUAACUUUGUUGCUUGUAUCCUUAUGAUUUAUAUUGAUUAUUUCCUAAUAUGAUUUGAUUGCUUAUUUGUACCCUACAACUAUCAUUAAGUGUUGUACCUUAUAAUUCUUGACGAACGCAUUUUUUCUUUUAUUUACACCAAGAGCAUAUGCACCAAGACAAAUUCCUUGAGUGUCCA
Ahaetulla prasina is the source of this 2238-nucleotide non-coding RNA. NCBI's taxonomy places the organism in Eukaryota, Metazoa, Chordata, Lepidosauria, Squamata, Colubridae. The record is from the annotation of a RefSeq genome assembly.